This is a long non-coding RNA of Daphnia magna, 1187 nucleotides long. RefSeq lists it as uncharacterized. Lineage: Eukaryota; Metazoa; Arthropoda; Branchiopoda; Diplostraca; Daphniidae. The transcript has 2 exons. The record is from RefSeq and is a predicted model, not a curated record.
AGAAUCCUUUCUGAUCACGUGCCGAUUAGGGCCAAUCAGGAGAGGGAGGAUACGACGACGCCAUCUAGCGCUCGAUAGUUUGACUCCUUAAAUAAUAACAAUUUACAGAGGACAGGGAAUUUGACAGACAGAAAUGGCCGACGUCUGCGGUGUGACAAUAAAACAAACAAAAUCCAAAUACAUUAUUUUCAGCUACGUGUGAGAGUUGAACUCUGGACCUUUUACUUGCCAUGCCGCUCUUCCACCACUAAGCUACCACUCAUAAAAUAUUGUUGUUUACGUCAGCAUCAUAAGCUGUCUGUCUGUCAAAUUAGGGAAGUAUCUCUCUCAAGGCAGCGGAUUCUCCCGGAUUCUCCCCAGUUCUUGUUUUUGAUUCCCAACUUUUCAUCCACUGAAACAUGGAAGUAUUUUACUUGGCAAGGACGGAUUGAUAUUUGAUAGCCAAAUUGAUAUCAAUAAGCGUGAUUCGGCAAAACGAAUGAAUGCUGUCUGCCCCACGCCGCUGUCCCCUGAGCAGGGAGGGGAUUGUGUGCUAUAGAUUACCAUAAAUCAUACAUAUAUAUAUAGAAAAUUGAAAUAUAAAUAUAUAUUUUUUUUACGUGGCGGUUCUUUUUUUUUUUUUUUUGAAGAGCCAAAUCAGCGAUUGAAGGGAUUCAAUCAUCUCAUGACGGAACCCAGGCCAGCAAGCGUAAAUGUCUUUUCCCACGUCCGUGAUACGAUUGCCCGACUGCCUAACGGGAAAGGGUUCGUUGGAGACAUUGCUCAGUUGUUGAGCAAUUCUCAAUACAUCACCCGCUGUAAGUCAAUUAGCAAACUGCUAGCAGCAGUGGUGUACUGCUUGCCAAUCCUAGCCAACGAGUGCCAUCCUUGUGUUGCCUUCAACAAAGAAACACAUUUAUUUCAUUACCAGCAAUACGGAUUCACUAUUGAAGAUCAUAAAGCGCUGGAAGAGAAAUUGACGCAACCGCAGCAGAAAAAAAGAAAAGCCGCUGAAAUGAAAACUAAAAGUGUUGCUGUCGCCAGGGAUUCAGAGUUAGCAGCAUGCGGAGAAAAAAGCAAAAUUUCCAACCCCAUUUUUCCUCUGCCAUUUGCACCGCAGAGGCUAGCGACCCAACAGAGCCAAAAGGCAGCGAAUUAACAGUAGCUAAUUUGGACUCCACAAUGCCCCCCAUUUGUGGGGCUAGUUA